RNAcentral lists this long non-coding RNA (679 nucleotides) under Phoenix dactylifera (date palm). RNAcentral's name for it is "long non-coding RNA (PDAC_LNC019551)". The record is from RNAcentral. Lineage: Eukaryota; Viridiplantae; Streptophyta; Magnoliopsida; Arecales; Arecaceae.
UUUUUACAUGUUUAUUUCCAUUUCACUAGAUUAAAAAAGAAACGAAAAUCCUUCACUAGAACAACACAAGUCAAAUCUUCAAACCCUUACCAUAUCCUGAGAAUAUUGGCUUAAAUCCUUAGGAACCCAACCUAAACACCACCACUACUCCUCUCCUUUGCAGCUCAUUGCCUCUUGUAUUGUUCCUUGCUGCCCACAUGCCAUUGCAUCCUCUCCUUCGUCACUUGUUGCCCACCAUGUCCUCUCUUAUGUCACUUUCCACUUACCACAUCACCUUUCAUUUCUUUGAUGGUGAAGAAGAGAUCUCACAAUCUCACAAGUUCUCUUUGAUAGUGGCGGACAAUGUAGCAUCAGCUAAUGUACAUCAGUGAUGGGUGGUGGCACCGUGCAACACCCUAGAGAGAAGAGAAAAAAGGGAAGAGGAUGGGAAGGGUUAGGAGUUAAAAAGUAUUAGACUCAAACUAAGGAUAUUAAGAAAUGGGUUCAUAGGACCAAUGAGCUAAGGUCCGAAACAAAGUAGACUUUGAGCCUGUCCAAAUCAAGCCAAAGCAAAUUCAAGCCUAAAUUUUGAGGCUUCGGCUCAACCCCAUUAUUCAUUUUCAUAACCCCAGCCCAGCCCUAAGCCAGCCAAGCCCAGUCAGCACGUGCCCAGCUCUAGCCAUUAGCAACCUUGAUCAUC